AAUCAACGCUGGCGGCGUGCCUCAGACAUGCAAGUCGAACGCGAAAGUCCCCUUCGGGGGAUUAGUAGAGUGGCGUCCGGGUGAGUAACACGUAGGUAAUCUACCUUCGGGUGGGGAAUAACGCAGGGAAACUUGCGCUAAUACCGCAUAAUGCAGCGGCACCACAUGGUGACAGUUGUUAAAGCGGGGGAUUUUCGGACCUCGCGCCUGAAGAGGAGCCUGCGGCAGAUUAGCUAGUUGGUAAGGUAACGGCUUACCAAGGCGACGAUCUGUAGCCGGCCUGAGAGGGCGGUCGGCCACACUGACACUGACAUACGGGUCAGACUCCUACGGGAGGCAGCAGUCGGGAAUUUUGGGCAAUGGGCGAAAGCCUGACCCAGCAACGCCGCGUGAAGGAUGAAAUCCCUCGGGAUGUAAACUUCGCAAGAAUAGGAAGAAUGAACGAACGCUAAUACCGUUCGUGAUGACGGUACUAUUUGUAAGCUCCGGCUAACUCCGUGCCAGCAGCCGAC
This 512-nucleotide ribosomal RNA is filed under the name uncultured bacterium. Its description in RNAcentral is "bacterial SSU rRNA". It matches the Rfam family "Bacterial small subunit ribosomal RNA", at positions 32 to 518 of the family's 1533-position model. The record is from RNAcentral.